This 225-nucleotide long non-coding RNA is filed under the name Gossypium barbadense (sea-island cotton). RNAcentral's name for it is "long non-coding RNA (GBAR_LNC012485)". Lineage: Eukaryota; Viridiplantae; Streptophyta; Magnoliopsida; Malvales; Malvaceae. The record is from RNAcentral.
GAGAACAAAGGUUUCGACUUUUGGAGAAAUCGGCAGAAAGAAAAGGAAGAAAACCGAAGGGUUUUUAACUUUUAGGGAAGAGGGUUUCUAGCAACAAGGUGAGAAAAAUAUUUUAGCAUUAGCCUCAUACCCUUGCAAUCGACACCUAUUUAUAUCCCUUAUGGCCGAACUCCUCAGGCCCCAAUUCCUAUUUCGGCUCCACUUGCUCCUCACUUCUUAUCUCCU